RNAcentral lists this ribosomal RNA (468 nucleotides) under uncultured bacterium. RNAcentral describes it as "partial 16S ribosomal RNA". It matches the Rfam family "Bacterial small subunit ribosomal RNA", at positions 28 to 507 of the family's 1533-position model. The record is from RNAcentral.
GACGAACGCUGGCGGCGUGCUUAACACAUGCAAGUCGAACGGAAAGGCCCUGCUUUUGUGGGUUGCUCGAGUGGCGAACGGGUGAGUAACACGUGAGUAACCUGCCCUUGACUUUGGGAUAACUUCAGGAAAAUGGGGCUAAUACCGGAGAGGAGCUCCUGCUGCAUGUUGGGGGAUGGAAAGUUUCGGCGGUGGGGGAUGGACUCGCGGCUUAUCAGCUUGUUGGUGGGGUAGUGGCUUACCAAGGCUUUGACGGGUAGCCGACAUGAGAGGGUGACCGGCCACAUUGGGACUGAGAUACGGCCCAGAAUCCUACGGGAGGCAGCAGUGGGGAAUAUUGCACAAUGGGCGGAAGCCUGAUGCAGCAACGUCGCGUGCGGGAUGCCGGCCUUCGGGUUGUAAACCGCUUUCGCCUGUGACGAAGCGUGAGUGACGGUAAUGGGUAAAGAAGCACCGGCUAACUACGUG